AAACUGAUGAUGACUCCAGAAAAGGGCAUACCUUGGAAAUCUAAAUAAAAUGAGUGUGAAAAGCCUCUACUGUCUCCUCAUCAGAACUGGGGUCC
Molecule: small nucleolar RNA, 95 nt
Organism: Bison bison bison
Lineage: Eukaryota; Metazoa; Chordata; Mammalia; Artiodactyla; Bovidae
Gene: SNORD116
Rfam family: Small nucleolar RNA SNORD116
About the family: HBII-85 is a member of the C/D class of snoRNAs, which contain the C (UGAUGA) and D (CUGA) box motifs. HBII-85 is encoded in a tandemly repeated array with another C/D snoRNA, HBII-52, in the Prader-Willi syndrome (PWS) region of chromosome 15.
Source: Ensembl